ACGUUAUACUUUUUUUUUGAGAAAGAGCAAGGACUGGUAUUCAGUAGCAACUCCACGAAUACACGAUUGGUUGUUAUCGAAGUACUCAAGUCUGACGGUUAUGGAUCCAUGCACCAAUUGCGCCAACCAAAGAGUGCAUAAAGCUAAGCGACAUCCUAGCAGCAGAGUUUUGAGGAGGUCAGUGUGAGUGCGCACACGCAAUGGAAGUGCAAUUCUCCUUCCUAAACGUUGUUCGAGGCGGCCCUUCCUACUCUUUUAGGAGAAACCUCGUUUUCAUACUGAUUGUGUUCACUCUAGUAGAAUGUAUAUAUCAAGAUACAUGUAAACUAUAGUGAUUUUUCACCAUGUAAUCAUAUUCAAUGGCCUGCUUGGUAUAAUUUUAUCCAGAUAUUUGUUUCUGCA
Papaver somniferum (opium poppy) is the source of this 402-nucleotide long non-coding RNA. RefSeq lists it as uncharacterized. NCBI's taxonomy places the organism in Eukaryota, Viridiplantae, Streptophyta, Magnoliopsida, Ranunculales, Papaveraceae. The transcript has 2 exons. The record is from RefSeq and is a predicted model, not a curated record.